UGGAAGGAAAGCCCCCAUUGCACCUGCCUCAAGGUCAAGGAUAUGUACAAGAAUGAGGUCCAAGAAAUCCUAACAAGAGAGCAUGUCCCUUGGAAGAGAGAAAUGAGCAGUUUUGCCACCUGAAGAUGGGAGUGGAAGACCAGGGAGCAGCUGAACAGAUAAAGGCCCUUCGGUUACCGCUCCUCUCUUUGGCUUUUUCCCUGA
Molecule: long non-coding RNA, 204 nt
Organism: Lontra canadensis (Northern American river otter)
Lineage: Eukaryota; Metazoa; Chordata; Mammalia; Carnivora; Mustelidae
Exons: 3
Source: RefSeq, a predicted model, not a curated record